GAUGAACGCUAGCGGCAGGCCUAACACAUGCAAGUCGAGGGAGGAGCUUUCGGGCUUCGACCGGCGUACGGGUGCGUAACGCGUAUACAAUCUGCCUUUCACAUAGGGAUAGCCCGAAGAAAUUUGGAUUAAUACCUAAUAGUAUAUAGAUGUGGCAUCACAUUUAUAUUAAAGCUGAGGCGGUGAAAGAUGAGUAUGCGUUCUAUUAGCUAGUUGGAGAGGUAACGGCUCCCCAAGGCGACGAUAGAUAGGGGUUCUGAGAGGGAUAUCCCCCACACUGGUACUGAGAUACGGACCAGACUCCUACGGGAGGCAGCAGUGAGGAAUAUUGGACAAUGGUCGGAAGACUGAUCCAGCCAUGCCGCGUGCAGGAAGACGGCCUUAUGGGUUGUAAACUGCUUUUGCAGGGGAAGAAUAAGGAGUACGUGUACUUUGAUGACGGUACUCUGCGAAUAAGCAUCGGCUAACUCCGUGCCGGCAGCCGCGGUAAUACGGAGGAUGCGAGCGUUAUCCGGAAUCAUUGGGUUUAAAGGGUCCGUAGGCGGGCUAAUAAGUCAGAGGUGAAAGCGCUCAGCUCAACUGAGCAACUGCCUUUGAAACUGUUAGUCUUGAAUGGUUGUGAAGUAGUUGGAAUGUGUAGUGUAGCGGUGAAAUGCUUAGAUAUUACACAGAACACCGAUAGCGAAGGCAUAUUACUAACAAUUAAUUGACGCUGAUGGACGAAAGCGUGGGGAGCGAACAGG
Molecule: ribosomal RNA, 743 nt
Filed under: uncultured Capnocytophaga sp.
Lineage: Bacteria; Pseudomonadati; Bacteroidota; Flavobacteriia; Flavobacteriales; Flavobacteriaceae
Description: bacterial SSU rRNA
Rfam family: Bacterial small subunit ribosomal RNA
Source: RNAcentral